AAAGAAACACAUUUAUCUGAAUUGCUGACUUUAAUUUAGCACUCUCAGUGCAUGUUUCAGCAAAAUUGGCUGUGGUUCAGCAGCAGCUGUCUCUGGAUCUUCCCUUAGAAAAUUUUACUACAUGAGCAGAAGUACGUCCUCCCUUGCGUCUCCUUUGCUCCUGGUCUGUGAUCCUGUAUUUAUUCAAGCAUCAGUCCAUUUGAUUGCCCAAGUCAUAGGCCAUCAAAAAAUCAAGUAGUUUUCAGCUGUAGAGAUCCUUUCUUGCGGUGCUUACUUGUUGCCCCCUAGAUCUGUAACAAAGGGGUUACACUGGCCUUCUGUGAGUUGUGUAUAGGGUGUCUGCAGGCCCGACUGCCUGUCACCUCAGCAGCCUAGAGUUCCUAAGUCACAUAAAAACUUCCCAGCCGAGUAGUUUACCAGCCACAGUAAUUUACCUGCAUCUGUGGAGACUAGCGGACCCUGGACCCGUUGUGUGACUGGGUCAUGGGAGCUGUUUGUGCUCCUGUCAAUUGUCCAUGGAAAGGAAAUAAACCACAAAGAGCUCCUGAGGUUUGUGGAUCAAAAAUAGCUAGAUUCAUUUGGACUGGACCAGGAGUAUCUUGGAAGAGACAGAAACCACUCCACGUAUAUAUAUUUAUUCCCCCUUAAGAGAGUUUAGAAAUAAUUUUUAAUCUGCUUUACUAAUA
Molecule: long non-coding RNA, 686 nt
Filed under: Bos taurus (domestic cattle)
Lineage: Eukaryota; Metazoa; Chordata; Mammalia; Artiodactyla; Bovidae
Description: long non-coding RNA NONBTAT010710
Source: RNAcentral